RNAcentral lists this ribosomal RNA (501 nucleotides) under uncultured bacterium. Its description in RNAcentral is "partial 16S ribosomal RNA". It matches the Rfam family "Bacterial small subunit ribosomal RNA", at positions 30 to 523 of the family's 1533-position model. The record is from RNAcentral.
AUUGAACGCUGGCGGCAGGCUUAACACAUGCAAGUCGAGCGGGGAAGGGUAGCUUGCUACCUAACCUAGCGGCGGACGGGUGAGUAAUGCUUAGGAAUCUGCCAUUUAGUGGGGGACAACAUUCCGAAAGGAAUGCUAGUACCGCAUACGUCCUACGGGAGAAAGCAGGGGAUCUUCGGACCUUGCGCUAAAUGAUGAGCCUAAGUCGGAUUAGCUAGUUGGUGGGGUAAAGGCCUACCAAGGCGACGAUCUGUAGCGGGUCUGAGAGGAUGAUCGGCCAAACUGGGAAUGAGAGACAGCCCAGGGUCCUACGGGAGGCAGCAGUAUGGAAUAUUGGACAAUGGGCGGAAGCCUGAUCCAGCCAUGCCGCGUGUGUGAAGAAGGCCUUAUGGUUGUAAAGCACUUCAAGCGAGGAGGAGGCUACUUAGAUUAAUACUCUAGGAUAGUGGACGUUACUCGCAGAAUAAGCACCGGCUAACUCUGUGCCAGCAGCCGCGGUAA